Long non-coding RNA from Phyllostomus discolor (pale spear-nosed bat), 3076 nucleotides. RefSeq lists it as uncharacterized. NCBI's taxonomy places the organism in Eukaryota, Metazoa, Chordata, Mammalia, Chiroptera, Phyllostomidae. The record is from RefSeq and is a predicted model, not a curated record. The transcript is spliced from 2 exons.
AAAAUUGGGACAAAUGUAAUAGCAUAAUCAAUAAAACAUACUUAAAAAUAAAGAAUGCAAAAAAAAAUACUGAUGUUACACACUGAGUAGGUUCCAACUCCUUAGUCCAAUGGAGCGAGCACUUUUGUACUGGAAUUUUCUCCUAAAAAAUUACCAAGAACUGGAAACAAUGAGAGGUACAUGCUUAUUUAAUGUUGUCUUAGGCUUAAGGAUAAGAAUCUUUAAGUUCGUAUUCCUCAGUGGAUACAGUUUUCAAGCAUAAAAUUUUCCCUAAGAGUAAAUAUCCUGACCUAUUAUCUAGACUGAAGAGCCUGGAGAAUUAAGGUGAACCGGAGACUUUUCAAGUUUCACUGUAGUAUGAAAACCAUCUAAAGAGAACUAAACCCAAGUUUACUGCAUCCAGCAAGUAGCUCUAUAGUAGACCCCAACUUUGUUUUCCAGGCACAAUAUGGUAGAUUAUUAAAGAUCUAUCAGAGCUUAUUUCUCCUGUUGAGAUCUAAACUGAAUUUAGGAUUCAGUAACUAAUUAACAUAAAGAGUAGAGAGAGGACUCAUCCUCCAUUGGAGUGCUCAGCCAACACCACUUUUUCUCUAUGGUUGGUCAAGUCACACACUAUAAAUUCUGCAGGAAAGCUAACGCGUAUGACAGAUUCCUUCACUUAUUUCUACUAAGGUUUUUAAGAAGUUUAGAAUGGUAAAUGACCACAAUGAACCAAAGAAUACACUUCUGAAGAAAAGAAAUUUUUUCUUGAUAUACUUAAAUUGAAGACCGAUCUGGAAAAACAUGUGUUGCUAUAAAUCAAAGGUUUCCAGUAUAAGUUAGGUUGCAGCAAUUCAGAGUUCAAGUUGAUGAGCCUAUUUUGUGCGUGAUUAUAUUAAUACUGUGGUAUAUUUGGUACUUACAUGUUAUGAGUAAAAAGCAUCUCUACCAAAAGACUGCCAGUUAAUUAGUUGUCCCAUGUUUUUUCCCAUUAUUCUGUAAUAUUUUCAUCCAUUGAGUAUCAAUUUCUUCUUUUUAAGGUGAGACUAUUCUCUCAGCAUAUAGUGCAACCUACACUGUCAAUAUUUUCCCAAUGGCUGAGAAAAUUUUUAACUAGAAGAAGCUCUCUGGUUUUAUACCACAGAAGUUUUCCCAGCCUACUUUGUGGAACUAGAUUAAUCCCACUUCAUUCUCCUGUUUCUGUUUUCAAAAAUUGCAAAAAAUGCAUAUCACAAAUGGCAUAUAUCAAGCUUUUAUAUCUAAACCUGAAACUUUAAGAAAUAUUGUUAACCAUUCACUCCUUCAGAGAAAAAAAUGUGAUCUUGGACCACUUUUGUCACUCUCAACUGGAGCGCUUAUUACAAAUGCAAAUUUCUGGUCCCUACCCAGAUUUACUGAAUCCAAAUUUCUGAAGAGGACUAAGAAAUGUAAUUUUUCCAUUGGUUCUUUUCCUACAUCUAUUAUAAUUUAGCAUUGUGUUGUUGGUUUUUAUUUUAUCAAAGGUCAGUAUGAGGUACACAAAUAAAAUCUCUGGGGCUUUUUUAUGCUAUUGAGGACAGUUGUGUUUUAUUAUUCAAUGUUCUUCAGUGUCCAUGGAAUAAAAUCUCAGAUUUCAGACCUAGAAAAAUACAUUUUUUUGUCCUAUGAAUUGGUAUGUUUCCUUUUUUGGACUAGUGCUUGUCAAAUUUGACUAAUUCUCAGAAUCAUCUGGGUAACUUUUAAAACAUACACAGCUUCCCAGACUCCAAGCAAGACCCUUUCAUCAGAAUCUCCAGGUUAGGGAGGGUCCUUGUGAGAAUGAUAAUUAACUGUGUUUCAAAAACCCUACAUGGGACAAUAGCUAGUUAAUUCACCAUGUUCACUUUUUGUUUUGGCAUCCUGGAAGCUAGUCUUCAAACAUCUUUUCUUGGAAUUCAGUUCUUUGAUAUAAUUAUUCUCCUUUUCUUUCCCCCAUUGUAUUACUUGUCUCAUUUAGUGUCUUUAGUGAAUUUCAACUUCAGAGGAAAUAGCUUACAGUAACACUGUCCUUUGGAAAGGACUCAUGGACAUGGGUAUAAGUGGACUAAGUGGUAAUGGGAAAAAAUACAACAAAAAUUAAAUCAAAAGAAAAAAAUACUAUCCUUUGGGCCAUCAUAUUUCUUGCAAUAGCAUUUAAGCCUAAAAUAAAUCAGUUCUUUGUAUUAUAGAGUAAAAGAAUAUUGUGAACAUAAAAGUUUCAUCAUUCAGAUUUUAUGGAGGCUUCAUGGGAAAUUACUGUCUGAAAGGCACUCUGAAAAUCAUUGCUAUUAAAUGCCAUAUACAUACUGAUCCUUUUGCAGUUCAUACACAUGCUGAUUGGGUGUUCACGCUAUCGUGAGAGAUGUGCCUCCCCCAAACCUUAUUUACAACACCAGCACGUUACCCGUGUGACAUGAAGUAGAUAAUAGAUGAUAGAUAGAUAAUAAACGCCAUGUACAUAUUUAAGCUUUUGGUACCCUUUUAGUCCUUUCACUGCGGGCACCCCAAAUACUGAAUACAUUCUUCUUGUUAUAUGCCACCUCAGAGAUCUAGUCCAUGUUAGUGGUGUUAACCAUUACACCAUGCUGAAUAAUUUCCAGAUAUGUACUUGAACUUGACUCAUUCACCACAACCCAAGCCUAUAUCUUUUGCUCUCUGCAGGAGCUUUUCACUUGGCUAUCUCCCAAAGUCCAGACAUCAGUGUGAAGAAACUCAACACAUCUAAAACCAAGCUCUUCUGUUCACUCCACCACUUUAUAUUCCUAGUUACCACCCUUCCCAUCUCACCAUCUGCAUAAAUAUCACCACCAUUCUCCCAUAUCCCAAGCUGUAUUAGCCCUUGGUCACUCCUAUUUCUUUUAAUCCCCACUCCACUUAGCACAGCAAUAUUUACACUGUAAAUUGAGAAUAUAGAUUCAAUUUGAAGACCAAGAAAAUACUGGUGCUCAAAAGGAGUGAUAAAUUGCUAAGGAGGUGUGAGUGUCUUGCUUCAGAGGGACAAAGGCUAUCAGUUGUCUUAGUUUCAAGGACUUAUCCCUUUCUCUCUUGUUCCCUGGCCUAGUCUUCAUUUCCCAAAUUAAACUAAUAAUUGAUUUCCUUG